GACAGAGGCCUCGAGCGUUAGGCGGAAUCACUGGGCUUAAAGCGUGUGUAGGCGGGCCCGUAAGUGUCUUGUGAAAUCCCACGGCUCAACCGUGGAACUGCUGGGCAUACUGCGGGUCUUGGGCCAACUAGGGGCAGCCGGAACAAGCGGUGGAGCGGUGAAAUGCGUAGAUAUCAGGAGGAACACCGAUGGCGAAGGCAGGUCUCUGGGCCACUACUGACGCUGAGAAGCGAAAGCAUGGGGAGCGAACAGG
This 253-nucleotide ribosomal RNA is filed under the name uncultured bacterium. RNAcentral describes it as "partial 16S ribosomal RNA". It matches the Rfam family "Bacterial small subunit ribosomal RNA", at positions 524 to 776 of the family's 1533-position model. The record is from RNAcentral.